GUGUCAGCAGCCGCGGUAAGACGAACCGUGCGAACGUUGUUCGGAAUCACUGGGCUUAAAGGGCGCGUAGGCGGGCACUCAAGUCGGUGGUGAAAGCCUCCAGCUUAACUGGAGAAGAGCUGUCGAUACUGGGUGUCUGGAGGGGUGUAGGGGUCUGUGGAACUGUGGGUGGAGCGGUGAAAUGCGUAGAGAUCCACAGGAACGCCGGUGGCGAAAGCGACGGACUGGACACCUUCUGACGCUGAGGCGCGAAAGCCAGGGGAGCAAACGGGAUUAGAUACCCCCGUAGUCC
This 292-nucleotide ribosomal RNA is filed under the name uncultured bacterium. RNAcentral's name for it is "partial 16S ribosomal RNA". It matches the Rfam family "Bacterial small subunit ribosomal RNA", at positions 505 to 796 of the family's 1533-position model. The record is from RNAcentral.